This 450-nucleotide ribosomal RNA is filed under the name uncultured bacterium. RNAcentral describes it as "partial 16S ribosomal RNA". It matches the Rfam family "Bacterial small subunit ribosomal RNA", at positions 354 to 796 of the family's 1533-position model. The record is from RNAcentral.
GUGGGGAAUCUUCCGCAAUGGACGAAAGUCUGACGGAGCGACGCCGCGUGAGUGAAGAAGGCCUUCGGGUCGUAAAGCUCUGUCAUCAGGGACGAACGGCCGGUGGAGUGGAAAGCCACCGGAUUGACGGUACCUGAGAAGGAAGCCACGGCUAACUACGUGCCAGCAGCCGCGGUAAUACGUAGGUGGCAAGCGUUGUCCGGAAUUAUUGGGCGUAAAGCGCGCGCAGGUGGGAUCUUAAGUCCAUUUUGAAAGUUCGGAGCUCAACUCCGUGAUGGGAUGGAAACUGGGAUUCUUGAGUACCGGAGAGGAAAGCGGAAUUCCACGUGUAGCGGUGAAAUGCGUAGAUAUGGGGAGGAACACCAGUGGCGAAGGCGGCUUUCUGGACGGUGUCUGACACUGAGGCGCGAAAGCUAGGGGAGCGAACGGGAUUAGAUACCCGAGUAGUCC